UUCUUCGGGGCUGGGUGAAAUUCCCAACCGGCGGUAUAGUCCGCGACCUGCGCAGAAUAUCUGCGUGGCUGAUUUGGUGCAAUUCCAAAACCGACAGUAAAGUCUGGAUGAGAGAAGAA
RNAcentral lists this non-coding RNA (119 nucleotides) under uncultured Bariatricus sp. RNAcentral describes it as "FMN riboswitch (RFN element)". It matches the Rfam family "FMN riboswitch aptamer (RFN element)". From Rfam's summary of the family: The RFN element is a highly conserved domain that is found frequently in the 5'-untranslated regions of prokaryotic mRNAs that encode for flavin mononucleotide (FMN) biosynthesis and transport proteins. This element is a metabolite-dependent riboswitch that directly binds FMN in the absence of proteins. Lineage: Bacteria; Bacillati; Bacillota; Clostridia; Lachnospirales; Lachnospiraceae. The record is from RNAcentral.